CUCUCGGGUGACGAGCGGCGGACGGGUGAGUAAUGUCUGGGAAACUGCCUGAUGGAGGGGGAUAACUACUGGAAACGGUAGCUAAUACCGCAUAAUGUCGCAAGACCAAAGUGGGGGACCUUCGGGCCUCAUGCCAUCAGAUGUGCCCAGAUGGGAUUAGCUAGUAGGUGGGGUAACGGCUCACCUAGGCGACGAUCCCUAGCUGGUCUGAGAGGAUGACCAGCCACACUGGAACUGAGACACGGUCCAGACUCCUACGGGAGGCAGCAGUGGGGAAUAUUGCACAAUGGGCGCAAGCCUGAUGCAGCCAUGCCGCGUGUGUGAAGAAGGCCUUCGGGUUGUAAAGCACUUUCAGCGGGGAGGAAGGCGAUAAGGUUAAUAACCUUGUCGAUUGACGUUACCCGCAGAAGAAGCACCGGCUAACUCCGUGCCAGCAGCCGCGGUAAUACGGAGGGUGCAAGCGUUAAUCGGAAUUACUGGGCGUAAAGCGCACGCAGGCGGUCUGUCAAGUCGGAUGUGAAAUCCCCGGGCUCAACCUGGGAACUGCAUUCGAAACUGGCAGGCUAGAGUCUUGUAGAGGGGGUAGAAUUCCAGGUGUAGCGGUGAAAUGCGUAGAGAUCUGGAGGAAUACCGGUGGCGAAGGCGGCCCCCUGGACAAAGACUGACGCUCAGGUGCGAAAGCGUG
RNAcentral lists this ribosomal RNA (685 nucleotides) under Klebsiella pneumoniae. Its description in RNAcentral is "bacterial SSU rRNA". It matches the Rfam family "Bacterial small subunit ribosomal RNA", at positions 81 to 763 of the family's 1533-position model. Lineage: Bacteria; Pseudomonadati; Pseudomonadota; Gammaproteobacteria; Enterobacterales; Enterobacteriaceae. The record is from RNAcentral.